UCCGUAGGUGAACCUGCGGAGGGAUCAUUACUGAGUGUAAAAACUCCCAAACCCAUUGUGAACAUACCACUGUUGCUUCGGCGGAUGCGCCCCGGGCGCGCCCUCACAGGCGUGCCCCGGACCAAGGCGCCCGCCGGGGAACCGAAACUCUUGUUUUCUUACAGAAUCUCUGAGUCUGAUUAUAAAUCAAAUCAAAACUUUCAACAACGGAUCUCUUGGCUCUAGCAUCGAUGAAGAACGCAGCGAAAUGCGAUAAGUAAUGCGAAUUGCAGAAUUCAGUGAAUCAUCGAAUCUUUGAACGCACAUUGCGCCCGCCAGUACUCUGGCGGGCAUGCCUGUCUGAGCGUCAUUUCAACCCUCGCCCCCGGCUUCUGUCGGGGACGGUGUUGGGGAUCGGCCUCCCGUCUUCCGGGUGGCCGGCCCCUAAAUUGAGUGGCGACCACGCCGUAACCUCCUCUGCGUAGUAGUUAAACACUCGCGGGCGGAGAGCGGUGCGGCCUGCCGUAAAACCCCCAACUCUUCUAAGGUUGACCUCAGAUCAGGUAGGAAUACCCGGCUGAACUUAAGGCAUAUCAAUAAGGCGGGAGGGGAAGGUCGGAC
RNAcentral lists this ribosomal RNA (600 nucleotides) under uncultured fungus. RNAcentral's name for it is "eukaryotic LSU rRNA". The stretch from base 196 to 349 matches the Rfam family "5.8S ribosomal RNA". Lineage: Eukaryota; Fungi. The record is from RNAcentral.